AUUCCAGCUCCAAUAGCGUAUAUUAAAGUUGUUGCGGUUAAAACGCUCGUAGUCGGAUUUCGGGACGGGCCGACCGGUCUGCCGAUGGGUAUGCACUGGUGGGCGUCAUCUUUCUGUCGAGGACGCGCUCCUGUCCUUUAUUGGUCGGGACGCGGAGUCGGCGAGGUUACUUUGAAAAAAUUAGAGUGUUCAAAGCGGGCUUACGCUUGAAUAUAUUAGCAUGGAAUAACACUAUAGGACUCCUGUUCUAUUUUGUUGGUCUUCGGGACGGGAGUAAUGAUUAAGAGGAACAGUUGGGGGCAUUCGUAUUUCAUUGUCAGAGGUGAAAUUCUUGGAUUUAUGAAAGACGAACUUCUGCGAAAGCAUUUGCCAAGGAUGUUUUCAUUG
This 387-nucleotide ribosomal RNA is filed under the name Crustomastigaceae sp. Its description in RNAcentral is "partial small subunit ribosomal RNA". It matches the Rfam family "Eukaryotic small subunit ribosomal RNA", at positions 582 to 975 of the family's 1831-position model. The record is from RNAcentral. Lineage: Eukaryota; Viridiplantae; Chlorophyta; Mamiellophyceae; Dolichomastigales; Crustomastigaceae.